This is a long non-coding RNA of Homalodisca vitripennis (glassy-winged sharpshooter), 1203 nucleotides long. RefSeq lists it as uncharacterized. The transcript is spliced from 4 exons. NCBI's taxonomy places the organism in Eukaryota, Metazoa, Arthropoda, Insecta, Hemiptera, Cicadellidae. The record is from RefSeq and is a predicted model, not a curated record.
UUAUGGGUAGACAACAAGUGUAACGCAACCAUUGGAUAUAUAUUUAUAAACUAUAAAAUAUAGAUAUUGUAAUAGAUCUAAGCCUAUUUCCAGUAAGAAACAUAAGCAUUCAACUUUCAAAUAACAAGUUAUCACCUGUUAAAGAAGAAAGCCUAGGAAGCACUGACAAACCUAGUACAUCUAAAGAGUUUUGAGAUGGAUUUUCCGGAACAUUAUUUGCACCUAAGGGAAGUGUUAAAGUGUCUGAGUAUUCACAAUUUAACAGCCAAUGUAGAGAAGAUUAAGUUUUGUUUUAGUGCAAUAAAAUUCAUAAGCCAUAUUGUGAACAAAAAUGAAUUAAACAUUGAUCCAGGUAGAACUGUAAACAUUCAACAUAGUACUAGGUUUAUUGGCAUGACUUCUUAUUUUUCAAAAUGUAUACAUAAUUAUGUGGAAAUAGCUGCUCCACUGAAUGCUAUGCGAAAGAAAAAUGCGGAAUUUGUCUGGACUGAGGAGUGUGAUUGAGCUCAUGCUUAUUACAAAAGGAUGAGAACGGCGAGAUGAAGGUGAUAGCCUAUUAUUCAAGAAAAUUUAAUUAAGUGACAAGGCGAGUAAUUAGAGAGAUAUAGGAAAUCUACUCUCCAAUUUCAGUGAACGACCAAUGCAGAAAGUGAUAUUUUUGGACCACUACCCAAGAGUACAUCUUGGUGGCUGUGAUUUCCUCUUCGUAAAAUAACUUCAGAUGUGUUGAAGUCAGCCUAUGUUGUGCCAAUUCACAAAUCAGGACCUAUCGAUGUGGCAUUCAACUAUAGACCAGGUCUCGAUCCUUUCCACUCUGUCAAAGAUUUUUGAGGACUUAUUUCUUGAUUCGAUCAAGUACAGAGGGGCUGAUUUGAUAUGUCCACGGCAGCAUGGCUUCACAGCAGGUACCUCGAAUAGGUAAGGUCCAGGAGGCAGUGGUCAGCAGUGAAGGGGACUUUGGCAAUCACCAACUUUAUCCUAACUGAACAUGUGUUUAUUUUCAAUUACCUUUGUAACAAUAUUAAAACUUAGGAGUGAUUUUAAAUGUACCUAUAUUGCAAUGUUUAACCAGUUCUAAUGGUUUUCAGAAAUAUUUUUUGUUUAAUUUACUUUAUGUUGAGUUUCAACCAUUGAAAAACUAUUUGGGAAUUUUGUAAUUCAGAUUAGAUGUUUAAAGUUGUAAUAAAUAACAUUUGGUACUUA